GGCCUGCGCAGCUAUACAUGCAAGUCGAGCGAACCGAUUAAGAGCUUGCUCUUAAGAAGUUAGCGGCGGACGGGUGAGUAACACGUAGGUAACCUGCCUAUAAGACUGGGAUAACUCCGGGAAACCGGGGCUAAUACCGGAUAACAUUUUGCACCGCAUGGUGCGAAAUUGAAAGGCGGCUUCGGCUGUCACUUAUAGAUGGACCUGCGGCGCAUUAGCUAGUUGGUGAGGUAACGGCUCACCAAGGCGACGAUGCGUAGCCGACCUGAGAGGGUGAUCGGCCACACUGGGACUGAGACACGGCCCAGACUCCUACGGGAGGCAGCAGUAGGGAAUCUUCCGCAAUGGACGAAAGUCUGACGGAGCAACGCCGCGUGAGCGAUGAAGGCCUUCGGGUCGUAAAGCUCUGUUGUUAGGGAAGAACAAGUGCUAGUUGAAUAAGCUGGCACCUUGACGGUACCUAACCAGAAAGCCACGGCUAACUACGUGCCAGCAGCCGCGGUAAUACGUAGGUGGCAAGCGUUAUCCGGAAUUAUUGGGCGUAAAGCGCGCGCAGGUGGUUUCUUAAGUCUGAUGUGAAAGCCCACGGCUCAACCGUGGAGGGUCAUUGGAAACUGGGAGACUUGAGUGCAGAAGAGGAAAGUGGAAUUCCAUGUGUAGCGGUGAAAUGCGUAGAGAUAUGGAGGAACACCAGUGGCGAAGGCGACUUUCUGGUCUGCAACUGACACUGAGGCGCGAAAGCGUGGGGAGCAAACAGGAUUAGAUACCCUGGUAGUCCACGCCGUAAACGAUGAGUGCUAAGUGUUAGAGGGUUUCCGCCCUUUAGUGCUGAAGUUAACGCAUUAAGCACUCCGCCUGGGGAGUACGGCCGCAAGGCUGAAACUCAAAGGAAUUGACGGGGGCCCGCACAAGCGUGGAGCAUGUGGUUUAAUUCGAAGCAACGCGAGACUUACCAGUCUGACAUCUCUGACACCCUAGAGAUAGGCUUCCCUUCGGGGCAGAGUGACAGUGUGCAUGAUGUCGUCAGCUCGUGUCGUGAGAUGUGGGUAGUUCCCGCACGGCGCACCCAUGAUCUAGUGCAUCAUUAAG
Molecule: ribosomal RNA, 1089 nt
Filed under: Bacillus mycoides
Lineage: Bacteria; Bacillati; Bacillota; Bacilli; Caryophanales; Bacillaceae
Description: bacterial SSU rRNA
Rfam family: Bacterial small subunit ribosomal RNA
Source: RNAcentral